This 425-nucleotide ribosomal RNA is filed under the name uncultured bacterium. RNAcentral describes it as "partial 16S ribosomal RNA". It matches the Rfam family "Bacterial small subunit ribosomal RNA", at positions 354 to 796 of the family's 1533-position model. The record is from RNAcentral.
GUGGGGAAUAUUGGACAAUGGGCGAAAGCCUGAUCCAGCCAUGCCGCGUGAGUGAUGAAGGCCUUAGGGUUGUAAAGCUCUUUCAGUAGGGAAGAUAAUGACGGUACCUACAGAAGAAGCCCCGGCUAACUUCGUGCCAGCAGCCGCGGUAAUACGAAGGGGGCUAGCGUUGUUCGGAUUUACUGGGCGUAAAGCGCACGUAGGCGGAUUGGUCAGUUAGAGGUGAAAUCCUGGAGCUCAACUCCAGAACUGCCUUUAAUACUGCCAGUCUAGAGUCCAGAAGAGGUGUGUGGAACUCCUAGUGUAGAGGUGGAAUUCUUAGAUAUUAGGAAGAACACCAGUGGCGAAGGCGGCUCACUGGUCUUGUACUGACUCUGAGGUACGAAAGCGUGGGGAGCAAACAGGAUUAGAUACCCGUGUAGUCC